This 2088-nucleotide long non-coding RNA is filed under the name Homo sapiens (human). RNAcentral's name for it is "HSALNT0314718". Lineage: Eukaryota; Metazoa; Chordata; Mammalia; Primates; Hominidae. The record is from RNAcentral.
CACUGCUAGGGUAAUAGUAGUAAUAAUAAAAUGGUUUUAAUCAGAUGGACUGAUCUUUCAGGUCUAGGAAAUAGGGUGGGGGAAGUUCAGGGGAAAGAUAAAUUCAGGGUCGGUUUCAUAAAUCAGGCUAUGCAUCUAAAGUAAGAGAGAAAGGUUAAUGCAGAACAUGACCAGAAGGACUUUGGUGAGAAUCAGGUUCUGGUCACCUGAUCAAAGUAGAGUGCAAGACUUCCUUUCCAACGGGCACCAGAGAUUUGAGGCCGUAGAAAUAUGGGAGAGAACAGGGAAUGGACUAAGUGAGUAAGUCAACCACAUCUACUCCUUGUCCAGUCUCUUAUGUCACUGUUCUGCGGUUAUACUAGUAGAGCAUUUCCUCAUCUGGGAAGUCUGCAACUUAAAGUCUGUGGGAAAUGUUCAGUUUAUUCUAACAAGGUAAUUCAUACAGAAAAGGGUCAAGAAAACUGGGAACUAUCAUUCAAAAGCCUCAGACCUCUGCUCUGGGUAUAGAACAGUAGACUAUUACAAACUCUUCUGGUUUGCACAGAAGAAAAAUGUUGACAAAUUGCCCAGCUGCAUUUUCUGUGUUAUAAAAUUGAAGUAGGGGGAGGCAGUCAGCAGAUGCUGGCUAUACAUUGCACUUAGCCUGGGAUGGGGUCAGGACAGCACGGACAGACACUGUUUAAUGGAAAGACCUAUGUCACAAUGCACUGAAUUUCUCACAGCAAGGCUGUAAAUGACAUCAAAAUACAGACAUCUAAGCUGAGACCCUUAGCAUCAUCCUCAAAGCACAAAAUGUUCACGGAGGGAAACCCUGGAAUCUCCCCCUGAAAACCUGUUAAUGUGGCUGAGAGCUCAAAACUGAAUCAUUGAAAACAGUAUAUUUUAUGGACAUAGAGAAAGAUGCUGCUUUUCUCCUGACAAUCUUCAAAGAGGGACCAGGUCAUGAUAAAGCAAAGCUGAAAGUCACUGCAGAGCAGAGAACAAAAGCAAAAGGAAGUUUUGCUGCUAACUGUCUCUAUCAAGUUUUUCUACAUUGAAGACAAACUGUGUAUGUGAUUUGUUCUCCUCAAAUGAGAUAUUCAGGGUACGUUGCUCAAAUAAAGAGGGCAAAGCGAUAUGGAGCACAUAGAAAAGAAGAGCGUUUACAUUGAAAGUGAAUUCCGGAGCAAGGAAGUUAUUGGCAUUCGUUUAGUGUACCACAAUGCUAGGGCUGAGGCCUCCGGGAUCCUCUGGGCCUUUUUCAUGGUUGAAAAAUGACAGUGGCAGCUUCAUUCCUUGUGCCCAGUUCCAGAGAGGAGGAAUGAGAAAGGAGCAAGAAGAAAAGGCUGACAUCUAUGGGAAGCCAAACUUUUUCAGGAAUCCCCUGCUCAGCACAAUCAUAACUACAUAGAUGAUUACAGUUGUAUGUUCGGAGAAAAAGAGGAGAGAGAAGACUAAGACUCAUAGGAAAGAAUCCUGCUUUUAUUAAUCAUUCAUACAUAUUUUCAUUUAUGUUUUGAAAGCCAACAACAUACCAGGCUGUCUGUUUGGCACUUAAUAUCUUCAGUCUGACCGAUACCAACUUCGGUUUUCUUGUGGAAAAAAUAAGGAUGUGGUAAGUUCAGACCCUUAACAUUCGAGAAAACCAAACAUAAUGAGCUACUGGUAAUCUUCUAGAUAUAAAUCCACCUAUUACCUCUGGAACUAUGACUGACUUUACCUUGUACCUGAAAUUAUCUUCUCUUUUUCAUUGACCAGCUCCUCCUGGGCAUUCAGAAUCCAGCAGGAACACUAUCGCCUCUAUGAACCCCAUACCAGCCCAGGCUAAGUAAGAUGCUGUGGUAGAUUACAUUUUCCAAAGAUGGCUACACCAAGAUAUAUCCUGCCCCACAUAUCCUUCUUAUACCAUGACACUGACACGUCUCCAUCAAGAGAUGAGAUCCUUGUUCCCCUACCUUGACCUGGGUGGACCUUUGUAACUGCCUCAAACAACAGUGUGACAGAAGUGCAUGACCUCUCAGAUGUAUUUGUCGGGGUUUUCCAGAGAAACAGAAUCAAUAGGAUGUAUGCGUGUGUAUGCAUGUGUGUGCGUGUGUGUGUGUGUAGAGA